AAUGAACGCUGGCGGCAGGCCUAACACAUGCAAGUCGAACGGAUCCUUCGGGAUUAGUGGCGGACGGGUGAGUAACGCGUGGGAACAUACCCAAAGGUACGGAAUAGCCUCGGGAAACUGGGAGUAAUACCGUAUGUGCUCGAAAGAGGAAAGAUUUAUCGCCUUUGGAUUGGCCCGCGUUGGAUUAGGUAGUUGGUGGGGUAAUGGCCUACCAAGCCGACGAUCCAUAGCUGGUUUGAGAGGAUGAUCAGCCACACUGGGACUGAGACACGGCACAGACUCCUACGGGAGGCAGCAGUGGCGAAUCUUAGACAAUGGGGGAAACCCUGAUCUAGCCAUGCCGCGUGAUCGAUGAAGGCCUUAGGGUUGUAAAGAUCUUUCAGGUGGGAAGAUAAUGACUGUACCACCAGAAGAAGCCCCGGCUAACUCCGUGCCAGCCGCCGCAGUAA
Molecule: ribosomal RNA, 449 nt
Filed under: uncultured bacterium
Lineage: Bacteria
Description: partial 16S ribosomal RNA
Rfam family: Bacterial small subunit ribosomal RNA
Source: RNAcentral